AUUGAACGCUGGCGGCAUGCUUUACACAUGCAAGUCGAACGGCAGCGCGGGCUUCGGCCUGGCGGCGAGUGGCGGACGGGUGAGUAAUUCAUCGGAACGUGCCCAGUAGUGGGGGAUAGCCCGGCGAAAGCCGGAUUAAUACCGCAUACGACCUGAGGGUGAAAGCGGGGGACCGAAAGGCCUCGCGCUAUUGGAGCGGCCGAUGUCGGAUUAGCUAGUUGGUGGGGUAAAGGCUUACCAAGGCGACGAUCCGUAGCUGGUCUGAGAGGACGACCAGCCACACUGGGACUGAGACACGGCCCAGACUCCUACGGGAGGCAGCAGUGGGGAAUUUUGGACAAUGGGGGCAACCCUGAUCCAGCCAUGCCGCGUGCGGGAAGAAGGCCUUCGGGUUGUAAACCGCUUUUGUUCGGGAAGAAAACCUCUGGGCUAAUACCCCGGGGGGAUGACGGUACCGGAAGAAUAAGCACCGGCUAACUACGUG
Molecule: ribosomal RNA, 484 nt
Filed under: uncultured bacterium
Lineage: Bacteria
Description: partial 16S ribosomal RNA
Rfam family: Bacterial small subunit ribosomal RNA
Source: RNAcentral